UAUUUAAUUUCUCCACCAAAUUUCCCACAUCUACCUACUCUUCCACCUCCUCCAUGACAGCCAUGCCACCUUCCUUUACACCUCCUUUCCACCUCCAUGACAGCCCUUUACACUUAACAUCCACUUUCAAAUUCCACUUAACAUCACUGCAGCCAAGUCAUUCCUCCUCCUACGCCAUAUCCCCUUCUCCUACAAAUCCGACAGCAAAUUCAUUCUCCCAAUCUCCAAAAUCUUUCAACAUUCAUUAUAUAUUUAUUUUCCACUCAAGAGAAGCUCAAAAGAAAUCCAGACAACAACGGCUCAACUCAAAACUUCUAAAGGUUGAGCAGUUGAUGGAAUGGAAUGAUGUUGAGCGGGUGUUCCUUUGACAUUUCAAGAAAUGUAACCUUGAGUAUACAUCUUCAUAUGUAUAUCUCACACGUUUCCGCUGCAAAACACUUUGAUUAGGAUAACUUUAUGUUAUGAAAUUGUGACACGUGUUAUUGGGUAAACCACCUUAAUCAGUUCUCAUUUAUAUGUAUGUUUUAUAAGUAUCCAAAUAAUCAUAUAUGAUCCUAGCAUUUUAUCUAUGAGUGACAUUUCCAUAUACUUUAAAUGUUAAGUAAUUGUCCAUUUC
Long non-coding RNA from Salvia miltiorrhiza (redroot sage), 616 nucleotides. RefSeq lists it as uncharacterized. The record is from RefSeq and is a predicted model, not a curated record. The transcript has 2 exons. Lineage: Eukaryota; Viridiplantae; Streptophyta; Magnoliopsida; Lamiales; Lamiaceae.